GAGGGGCGGCCCUGAGGGGAGGGAGGCGGCUCCGCUCGGACCGCCCCGGAGUUGCCCCGUGGAGGCACCGGGCCUUGAGCUUUAAUACACUGGUGACAGACCUGCCUUGAGAACCAAAUGAAUCUUGGGCUGCUGGUAACAUAUUGGCUCUACGAUGUGAUUUGUACUGAAGGCCUUCAGGGAGAGGAGAUGACGUGAACAAAUACCAGUCAGCUGAGAUGCAGAGAAGACAUAAAUUCUUCUGUAUAACAGUUCUAUUUUUCAGGACCCCAAAAAAUCUGACACUGAACUGGCCAAGAAGAGAGACAAGUCUCUUGCUUUGAUGUGGGGAGUGGAAGCAGCACCACUGGAUGGCUGUGAUAUCGUCUUCAAGUUAUAAGACCUUUUUCUAAGCCAUUUCAACCAGUGUUAUAUGUUGAGUUUGCCUCAUCAUUCUCUGCCUUCUGCACUCACAUGGGUACUCACUUGUUCACCAAUAAUUAAGGGAAGGAGUCAAAAUAUAACUGCCCUGUUCAGAUGGGUGAACUUCUGAAAAGCCUAAAACCUGACCUCAUCUGUUGGUAGACUCAGCCCACACAGGUACAUUUUCCUAGAACAGUAUUUUUCCUGUGCAUUUCUACAGGCACAGUGAGUGGUGAGAUCAUGAGUGUGCAGUUUACUCAUGCAGAAAUAAAGUAAUGAAAUGGAGUCUCUUACCUGUUCUCUUCCUUGAGAGGUGCUACAGAAGGCUAUCAUUUUCCAAGCAAUUGUUGGUGAAAUCUUGUCUGCAUACUUUUGUGUGAAACAAAAGAAUCAUAUGAGACAAGAGUUAACAUAAGAGUUACAAACUAAUCAGAGGUUUGGCAGCUGCUUUAGAUCACAGAAAAAUUUCUCGUCCACUUACAUUUAAAUGAAUAAAAAAAACCAACUCAACUACUUAAGCAGUGCUAUCAUAUUCUUUGUCAGUGUGAGCCUCAUGCUUAUGCAAAGUGUAUGAAUGCCUUUAUGCAGAGCAGACAAGCAUGUUAGAAAGAAGACUGGUGACUCACAGUUCCUUCCAAUGAACUAUCCUGAAAAAGGAUGUUUAAACCUGUAAGCUCAGAACUGCUCUGCCUUCCUCACACAGACACAUUGCUAUGGCAUGGCUGACUGUAAGUACAAACAACUUCUCAGAGAAGUUCAUAACAAAACCCAUAUAUUUAUUCCUUUUAAGAGACUGAAGGAAUAACCCCCAAAGCUGACCAAGCUAUUUCCUUCUGUCCCCUUUGUUAUUUUCUAGUAUUUCUGGGCCUGAGUCAAAACCACAGCUGUCCACUCAAGUCUUCCCACUGACUUCUGUGGGGCUUGGAUGGGACUUGCUUGUUAUCAGGCUUUGGUACUGACCUUAGUCUGCCAUCUCAUCUCCCAGGCUUUCAGGAAGAGAAAAUAGCAGACCCCAGACGACAUGGGGAAAGAAUUCAGGCUAAAGCUGCCUGGGACAGGUUUCAGUGUGUUUUGAGAAAACUGGGAGUGAGGCAUGGCUUCAAAAUCCAAAUAAAGGAGUGAUGUCUUGGCAUGAUAUCCCAGCAUAUGUUUGAAGAGAACCAAACACCAUAAAACUGGAGGCUUUGGGCUGUGUCUCUGAUGUAAUAAUUAAAAAUUAAAAAUAAAAAAUAGAACUGGAAUUGAA
Molecule: long non-coding RNA, 1648 nt
Organism: Calypte anna (Anna's hummingbird)
Lineage: Eukaryota; Metazoa; Chordata; Aves; Apodiformes; Trochilidae
Exons: 4
Source: RefSeq, a predicted model, not a curated record